Molecule: ribosomal RNA, 630 nt
Filed under: uncultured bacterium
Lineage: Bacteria
Description: bacterial SSU rRNA
Rfam family: Bacterial small subunit ribosomal RNA
Source: RNAcentral
AGUGAACGCUGGCGGCGUGCUUAACACAUGCAAGUCGAACGAGAACGGGUCUUAGCUUGCUAAGACUGUCAGCUAAGUGGCGGACGGGUGAGUAAUGUAUAGCUAAUGUGCCCCUUGGAGAGGGAUAACAGUUGGAAACGACUGCUAAUACCUCAUACUCCUUCUAUGUUAAUCAUAGUUGGGAAAUGUUUUUUCGCCAAGGGAUCGGGCUAUAUGGUAUCAGCUAGUUGGUGAGGUAAUGGCUCACCAAGGCAAUGACGCCUAGCUGGUCUGAGAGGAUGAUCAGCCACACUGGAACUGAGACACGGUCCAGACUCCUACGGGAGGCAGCAGUGGGGAAUAUUGCACAAUGGAGGAAACUCUGAUGCAGCAACGCCGCGUGGAGGAUGACGCAUUUCGGUGUGUAAACUCCUUUUAUAUAGGAAGAUAAUGACGGUACUAUAUGAAUAAGCACCGGCUAACUCCGUGCCAGCAGCCGCGGUAAUACGGAGGGUGUAAGCGUUACUCGGAAUCACUGGGCGUAAAGCGCGCGCAGGCGGCCUUUUAAGUUGGAUGUGAAAGCCUAUGGCUCAACCAUAGAACUGCAUCCAAAACUAUCAGGCUAGAGUGUGGGAGAGGAAGAUGGAAUUA